RNAcentral lists this ribosomal RNA (253 nucleotides) under uncultured bacterium. Its description in RNAcentral is "partial 16S ribosomal RNA". It matches the Rfam family "Bacterial small subunit ribosomal RNA", at positions 524 to 776 of the family's 1533-position model. The record is from RNAcentral.
UACAGAGGUCCCGAGCGUUGUUCGGAUUCACUGGGCGUAAAGGGUGCGUAGGUGGUGAGGUAAGUCGGAUGUGAAAUCUCUGAGCUCAACUCAGAAAUGGCAUUGGAAACUGCCUUGCUUGAGGGUUGGAGGGGGGACUGGAAUUCUCGGUGUAGCAGUGAAAUGCGUAGAGAUCGAGAGGAACACCAGUGGCGAAGGCGAGUCCCUGGACAACACCUGACGCUGAGGCACGAAAGCUAGGGGAGCAAACAGG